GUUAAACAUAAAGAGCGUAGGGUGGAUGCCUAGGCACUGACAGCCGAAGAAAGACGUGACAAGCUGCGAAAAGCUGCGGGGAGAAGCACAUAUUCAGUGAUCCGCAGAUGUCUGAAUGGGGAAACCCACUUGGAAGAACUCCAAGUAUCUGUACGCCAAUACAUAACGUACAGAGGGGAACCCGGUGAACUGAAACAUCUAAGUAGCCGGAGGAAAAGAAAACAACAGUGAUUGCGAAAGUAGCGGCGAGCGAAAUCGUAAGAGCCCAAACCGUGGUGCGUGCACUGCGGGGUAGAGGACUGCAAUACGAGUAAGAUAUAUUACCUGAACCGUUUUGGAAAAGCGGGCCAAAGAGCGUGAGAGCCGUGUAAGGGAAAAUAUAUUGAAUCCAGCAGUAUCCGGAGUACCACGAGACACGAGAAACCUUGUGGGAAGCAGGGGGGACCACCCCCCAAGGCUAAAUACUAGUCAGUGACCGAUAGCGUAUAGUACUGUGAAGGAAAGGUGAAAAGAACCCCGGGAGGGGAGUGAAAAAGAACCUGAAACCCUAUGUUUACAAACUGUGGAACACCGAAAGGUGAACCGCGUACUUUUUGUAGAACGGUCCGGCGAGUUACAUGUACAGGCGAGGUUAAGUAUUAAAGAUACGGAGCCGAAGGGAAACCAAGUCUUAAUAGGGCGAUAUUAGUCUGUAUGUGUAGACCCGAAACCGGGUGAUCUAUCCAUGUCCAGGUUGAAGUUCGCGUAAAAGUGAAUGGAGGACCGAACGCACAUCCGUUGAAAAGGGUGGCGAUGAGGUGUGGAUAGGGGAGAAAUUCCAAUCGAACCCGGAGAUAGCUGGUUCUCCUCGAAAUAGUUUUAGGACUAGCCUCGUUAUUAGUCUACCGGAGGUAGAGCACUGAAUUUUUGCGGGGGCGUCAAAGCCUACCAAGAGAUAUCAAACUCCGAAUGCCGGCUAGAUGAUUGACGGGAGUCAGACUACACGAGAUAAGUUGGGUAGUCAAAAGGGAAAGAGCCCAGACCUACGGCUAAGGUCCCAAAGUGUGUGUUAAGUGGAAAAGGAUGUGGGAUUUCGAAGACAGCUAGGAUGUUGGCUUAGAAGCAGCCAUACAUUAAAAGAGUGCGUAACAGCUCACUAGUCGAGAGGUCCUGCGCCGAAAAUGUCCGGGGCUAAACACAACACCGAAGCCUGGGAAUGUAGUAAUACAUUGGUAGAGGAGCAUUCUUAGAAGCGUAGAAGCCAUACCGUAAGGAAUGGUGGAGUAAUAAGAAGAGAGAAUGCCGGAAUGAGUAGCGAGAAAGAGGUGAGAAUCCUCUUGGCCGAAUAUCUAAGGUUUCCUGAGUAAAGCUGAUCUACUCAGGGUAAGUCGGGGCCUAAGGCGAGGUCGAAAGACGUAGUCGAUGGAUAACAGGUACAGAUUCCUGUACUACAUAUAAUCAGAACUGUGGGGACACGGAGACUGAAACCGAACCCGGGAGGACAAAAACCGGGGCAAGCGAAGUACCUGUAUGGGAGGAAAAACCACCAUACAAGGGGAAUGCGUGAUGCGUACCGAAAAUUAGUAGGGAAGUCGGUUAGGGAGCCGUCAAGAAAAGCCGCUAUUGUGUUAUAUGUACCCGUACCGCAAACCGACACAGGUAGAUGAGGAGAGAAUCCUAAGGCCGGCGGGAGAAGCAUUGUUAAGGAACUCGGCAAAAUGACCCCGUAACUUCGGGAGAAGGGGUGCCACUUUAAUAGAGUGGUCGCAGAAAAAAGGCUCAAGCAACUGUUUAGCAAAAACACAGGUCUAUGCGAAACCGCAAGGUGAAGUAUAUGGGCUGACGCCUGCCCGGUGCCGGAAGGUUAAGAGGAGAAGUCAGGAAACGAAGCUUUGAAUUGAAGCCCCGGUAAACGGCGGCCGUAACUAUAACGGUCCUAAGGUAGCGAAAUUCCUUGUCGGGUAAGUUCCGACCCGCACGAAAGG
This 1964-nucleotide ribosomal RNA is filed under the name human gut metagenome. RNAcentral describes it as "bacterial LSU rRNA". It matches the Rfam family "Bacterial large subunit ribosomal RNA", at positions 1 to 1999 of the family's 2925-position model. The record is from RNAcentral.